GAUGAACGCUGGCGGCGUGCCUAAUACAUGCAAGUCGAACGCUGGAAAUCUAGCUUGCUAGAUUGAAGGAGUGGCGAACGGGUGAGUAAUACAUAAGCAACCUACCCACGAAGACUGGGAUAAUCUCUGGAAACGGGGACUAAUACCGGAUAGGUAAUCGGAAGGCAUCUUCUGAUUAUUAAAGGUUAAAAACACUGGUGGAUGGGCUUAUGGCGCAUUAGUUAGUUGGUGAGGUAACGGCCCACCAAGACGAUGAUGCGUAGCCGGCCUGAGAGGGUGAACGGCCACAUUGGGACUGAGACACGGCCCAGACUCCUACGGGAGGCAGCAGUAGGGAGGUUUCGGCAAUGGGGGAAACCCUGACCGAGCAACGCCGCGUGAGUGAUGACGGCCUUCGGGUUGUAAAGCUCUGUUGUAAGGGAAGAACGGUAGAUAGAGAAUAUCUAAGUGACGGUACCUUAACAGAAAGCCACGGCUAACUACGUG
This 486-nucleotide ribosomal RNA is filed under the name uncultured bacterium. RNAcentral's name for it is "partial 16S ribosomal RNA". It matches the Rfam family "Bacterial small subunit ribosomal RNA", at positions 28 to 507 of the family's 1533-position model. The record is from RNAcentral.